RNAcentral lists this ribosomal RNA (482 nucleotides) under uncultured bacterium. Its description in RNAcentral is "partial 16S ribosomal RNA". It matches the Rfam family "Bacterial small subunit ribosomal RNA", at positions 30 to 507 of the family's 1533-position model. The record is from RNAcentral.
AUUGAACGCUGGCGGCAGGCCUAACACAUGCAAGUCGAGCGGAUGAAGGGAGCUUGCUCCUGGAUUCAGCGGCGGACGGGUGAGUAAUGCCUAGGAAUCUGCCUGGUAGUGGGGGAUAACGUCCGGAAACGGGCGCUAAUACCGCAUACGUCCUGAGGGAGAAAGUGGGGGAUCUUCGGACCUCACGCUAUCAGAUGAGCCUAGGUCGGAUUAGCUAGUUGGUGGGGUAAAGGCCUACCAAGGCGACGAUCCGUAACUGGUCUGAGAGGAUGAUCAGUCACACGAGAGCUGAGACACGCCAGACACCUCCAGGAGAGGCAGGAGUGGAAAAUUUGAGAAAAGGCGAAAAAGUCAGCCAGAGACGCCGCGCGUGUGAAGAAGGUCUUCGGAUUGUAAAGCACUUUAAGUUGGGAGGAAGGGCAGUAAGUUAAUACCUUGCUGUUUUGACGUUACCAACAGAAUAAGCACCGGCUAACUUCGUG